RNAcentral lists this ribosomal RNA (305 nucleotides) under uncultured bacterium. Its description in RNAcentral is "bacterial SSU rRNA". It matches the Rfam family "Bacterial small subunit ribosomal RNA", at positions 332 to 655 of the family's 1533-position model. The record is from RNAcentral.
UAAACCCUACGGGAGGCAGCAGUGGGGGAUAUUGCACAAUGGGGGGAACCCUGAUGCAGCGACGCCGCGUGGGCGAUGGAGCGCCUCGGCGCGUAAAGCCCUAUCAGCAGGGAAGAAGAUGACGGUACCUGACUAAGAAGCCCCGGCUAAAUACGUGCCAGCAGCCGCGGUAAUACGUAUGGGGCAAGCGUUAUCCGGAUUUACUGGGUGUAAAGGGAGCGUAGGUGGCGUGCCAAGUCAGGAGUGAAAACCCAGGGCCCAACCCUGGGACUGCUCUUGAAACUGGCAGGCUUGAGUGUUGGAGG